GAUGAACGCUGGCGGUGCGCCUAACACAUGCAAGUCGUGCGAAGCUAACCCAACUUGUUGGGCUAAGACUUAGCGGCGGACGAGUGAGGAACACGUAAGAACCAACCCUUAGGAGGGGGAUAACAGCUGGAAACGGUUGCUAAUACCCCAUAUGCUGAGGAGUGAAAGGUGAAAACCACCUAGGGACGGGCUUGCGUCUGAUUAGCUAGUUGGAGAGGUAACUGGCUCACCAAGGGCGACGAUCAGUAGCUGGUCUGAGAGGAUGAUCAGCCACGCUGGAACUGAGACACGGUCCAGACUCCUACGGAGGCAGCAGUGAGGAAUUUUCCGCAAUGGGCGAAAAGCCUGACGGAGCGACACCGCGUGGAGGAUGACGGCCCGUGGGUUGUAAACUCCUUUCUUAGAGAAGAAUUCUGACGGUAUCUAAGGAAUAAAGCAAUCGGCUAAACUCUGUGCCAGCCGCG
RNAcentral lists this ribosomal RNA (464 nucleotides) under uncultured bacterium. RNAcentral describes it as "bacterial SSU rRNA". It matches the Rfam family "Bacterial small subunit ribosomal RNA", at positions 28 to 516 of the family's 1533-position model. The record is from RNAcentral.